RNAcentral lists this ribosomal RNA (116 nucleotides) under Lysinibacillus sp. SGAir0095. The record is from RNAcentral. Lineage: Bacteria; Bacillati; Bacillota; Bacilli; Caryophanales; Bacillaceae.
UCUAGUGAUGAUGGCAAAGAGGUCACACCCGUUCCCAUACCGAACACGGAAGUUAAGCUCUUUAGCGCCGAUGAUAGUUGGGGGCUUCCCCCUGUGAGAGUAGGACGUCGCUAGAC